GCGGCGUGCUUACACAUGCAGUCGAACGGUGAUGGGGAGCUUGCUCUCCGGAUCAGUGGCGAACGGGUGAGUAACACGUGAGCAAUCUGCCCCUGACUCUGGGAUAAGCGCUGGAAACGGCGUCUAAUACUGGAUACGAGCUGCGAUCGCAUGGUCAGCAGUUGGAAAGAAUUUCGGUCAGGGAUGAGCUCGCGGCCUAUCAGCUUGUUGGUGAGGUAAUGGCUCACCAAGGCGUCGACGGGUAGCCGGCCUGAGAGGGUGACCGGCCACACUGGGACUGAGACACGGCCCAGACUCCUACGGGAGGCAGCAGUGGGGAAUAUUGCACAAUGGGCGCAAGCCUGAUGCAGCAACGCCGCGUGAGGGACGACGGCCUUCGGGUUGUAAACCUCUUUUAGCAGGGAAGAAGCGAAAGUGACGGUACCUGCAGAAAAAGCACCGGCUAACUACGUGCCAGCAGCCGCGGUAAU
RNAcentral lists this ribosomal RNA (470 nucleotides) under uncultured bacterium. RNAcentral's name for it is "bacterial SSU rRNA". It matches the Rfam family "Bacterial small subunit ribosomal RNA", at positions 39 to 524 of the family's 1533-position model. The record is from RNAcentral.